UGGCGGCGGCUUACCAUGCYGUCGAGCGGAAGCACAGGGGAGCUUGCUCCCCGGGUGACGAGCGGCGGACGGKUGAGUAAUGUCUGGGAAWCUGCCUGAUGGAGGGGGUAUAACUACUGGAAACGGUAGCUAAUACCGCAUAACGUCGCAAGACCAAAGAGGGGGACCUUCCCNCCCUCUUGGCCAUCAGAAUGUGNCCAGRAUGGGGAUUUAGCUAGUAGGU
This 223-nucleotide ribosomal RNA is filed under the name Serratia marcescens. RNAcentral describes it as "partial 16S ribosomal RNA". It matches the Rfam family "Bacterial small subunit ribosomal RNA", at positions 37 to 253 of the family's 1533-position model. The record is from RNAcentral. Lineage: Bacteria; Pseudomonadati; Pseudomonadota; Gammaproteobacteria; Enterobacterales; Yersiniaceae.